UGGGGAAUAUUUCACAAUGGGCGCAAGCCUGAUGCAGCCAUGCCGCGUGUAUGAAGAAGGCCUUCGGGUUGUAAAGUACUUUCAGUCGGGAGGAAGGUGGUAAGGUUAAUAACCUUGGCAAUUGACGUUACCGACAGAAGAAGCACCGGCUAACUCCGUGCCAGCAGCCGCGGUAAUACGGAGGGUGCAAGCGUUAAUCGGAAUUACUGGGCGUAAAGCGCACGCAGGCGGUUGAUUGAGUCAGAUGUGAAAUCCCCGGGCUUAACCCGGGAAUUGCAUCUGAUACUGGUCAGCUAGAGUCUUGUAGAGGGAGGUAGAAUUCCAUGUGUAGCGGUGAAAUGCGUAGAGAUGUGGAGGAAUACCGGUGGCGAAGGCGGCCCCCUGGACAAAGACUGACGCUCAGGUGCGAAAGCGUGGGGAGCAAACAGG
Molecule: ribosomal RNA, 429 nt
Filed under: Chloroflexota bacterium
Lineage: Bacteria; Bacillati; Chloroflexota
Description: Chloroflexi bacterium partial 16S ribosomal RNA
Rfam family: Bacterial small subunit ribosomal RNA
Source: RNAcentral